AAUUUAUAAAGGCAAACCUGUCGAAAGGCAGAACGCAAAGCUAAAGGGUCUAAAGUCUUAAAGACUAUGCCAGUUGCCAUU
RNAcentral lists this non-coding RNA (81 nucleotides) under Desulfosporosinus sp. Its description in RNAcentral is "c-di-GMP sequence". It matches the Rfam family "c-di-GMP-I riboswitch aptamer". Rfam says of the family: GEMM was predicted in a large-scale screen for bacterial structured RNA regulatory elements. Lineage: Bacteria; Bacillati; Bacillota; Clostridia; Eubacteriales; Desulfitobacteriaceae. RNAcentral also lists the same sequence under 1 other name. The record is from RNAcentral.